Molecule: ribosomal RNA, 585 nt
Filed under: Bacillus paramycoides
Lineage: Bacteria; Bacillati; Bacillota; Bacilli; Caryophanales; Bacillaceae
Description: bacterial SSU rRNA
Rfam family: Bacterial small subunit ribosomal RNA
Source: RNAcentral
GCUAUACAUGCAGUCGAGCGAAUGGAUUAAGAGCUUGCUCUUAUAGAAGUUAGCGGCGGACGGGUGAGUAACACGUGGGUAACCUGCCCAUAAGACUGGGAUAACUCCGGGAAACCGGGGCUAAUACCGGAUAACAUUUUGAACCGCAUGGUUCGAAAUUGAAAGGCGGCUUCGGCUGUCACUUAUGGAUGGACCCGCGUCGCAUUAGCUAGUUGGUGAGGUAACGGCUCACCAAGGCAACGAUGCGUAGCCGACCUGAGAGGGUGAUCGGCCACACUGGGACUGAGACACGGCCCAGACUCCUACGGGAGGCAGCAGUAGGGAAUCUUCCGCAAUGGACGAAAGUCUGACGGAGCAACGCCGCGUGAGUGAUGAAGGCUUUCGGGUCGUAAAACUCUGUUGUUAGGGAAGAACAAGUGCUAGUUGAAUAAGCUGGCACCUUGACGGUACCUAACCAGAAAGCCACGGCUAACUACGUGCCAGCAGCCGCGGUAAUACGUAGGUGGCAAGCGUUAUCCGGAAUUAUUGGGCGUAAAGCUCGCGCAGGUGGUUUCUUAAGUCUGAUGUGAAAGUCCNCGGCACAAU